UGCGGGCACGCGGUGUUAGGGCGUGAACCUGGUCAGGCCGGAAACGGAGCAGCCACAGCGCACCAAGCAGGUGCGUGCCCACCUUC
RNAcentral lists this signal recognition particle RNA (86 nucleotides) under Planctomycetota bacterium. Its description in RNAcentral is "signal recognition particle sRNA small type". It matches the Rfam family "Bacterial small signal recognition particle RNA". From Rfam's summary of the family: The signal recognition particle (SRP) is a universally conserved ribonucleoprotein involved in the co-translational targeting of proteins to membranes. Archaeal SRP consists of a 7S RNA and homologues of the eukaryotic SRP19 and SRP54 proteins. In most bacteria, the SRP consists of a 4.5S RNA and the Ffh protein (a homologue of the eukaryotic SRP54 protein). Lineage: Bacteria; Pseudomonadati; Planctomycetota. The record is from RNAcentral.